GAAACUUCUGGCAUUUCCAGUCAAACGAAGGUUCCAGAAGGACAUGGAACAAGGGAGCAAAGCCAGAAGUUUAACAUCAACAACAAGGAAAAAGAAGAAGAAAAUAAGUUUAAAUACUGCUCCUCAUUUUUUGCUGUCCCAUCUCAGCAUUUUAGUACUCCUGUUCACCUGAAAUUGGAACAUUGUAGUAUGCUAUUCAUCAACAUGGAGCCCCUUUUUCAGAGAUAGCUCCCCAAGAAGGGGAAGCUGCCAAGAUUCACCCUCUCUCCAGUGCCCUCGUUUUAAAACCAAACCAGGAUUUCUGAAUCUCAGCGCUAUCGACAAUUAAGACUGGAUAAUUCUUUGUUGUGUGGGGCUAUCCUGUCACUAGAUGCCAGUAGUACUCCAUUUAUGGACGGUGCCAAAUGUCCUUGGGGAGCACAAUCGUGCCUGGUAGAAAACAAAGGCAAGAGGCCAAAGGACUGAACCCUGAGGUCCACCAACAUUUGAAAGGAAGGCAGAGGAAGAGAAACUAUUAUGAAUGACCAAAUGAGGAGAGUUUCAAGAAAGAACUGUUUGGCAAAGUCGGCUGUUCCAGAGAAGUUACAUAAAAUGGACAGAAAAAAAAUCUUUGACUUUGGUGAUGAGGAGGUUCUUGGUGACCUAAGAGAGAUUUACAUGCAAUAUGCUAAGAUGGAAAUAAUGCUUUAAAAAAGAAAACACACAAUCAUUUUGCGGAAGACUUGAGAAAAACGUUUUCAGCUUAAAGAGAAAAAAGCAGUGAGACCCCUUCGGCGUCUGUGCAAAACUGUUUGCUUGGCUCUGGAGGUGAUAAAAAUAAUUUAUGAAGCUCUACAUUUUUAGCAAGAGGAAAUGACCUCAGCUUUUGGCAAUCUGAUGCAGUUAGUGAAGCCUCUCUCUACUACUUUUAUGGAUUUCCUUGAGCUGCAUAUUCUGUGACCUGUAUUUCAGAUUUAUUGGCAGAUACAUAAGCCACAUUAAGUAACAUAAAAUGCAGUGAAUGCAUCAAACAACUCAGCGGGGACCGACUGACAGCGGGCGAGAGGCUGCCUCUUCGAAGAAGUCAUUCCGAAUCUGAUACCUGUUUAUGCAUUUGUCUAACCAGGCUCUGGAUUUUUAUUUUAAAUAAAGACAUUAUUUCAAAACAAAA
This 1150-nucleotide long non-coding RNA is filed under the name Equus caballus (horse). RNAcentral describes it as "lncRNA (ENSECAG00000044058.1)". Lineage: Eukaryota; Metazoa; Chordata; Mammalia; Perissodactyla; Equidae. The record is from RNAcentral.